This 253-nucleotide ribosomal RNA is filed under the name uncultured bacterium. RNAcentral describes it as "partial 16S ribosomal RNA". It matches the Rfam family "Bacterial small subunit ribosomal RNA", at positions 524 to 776 of the family's 1533-position model. The record is from RNAcentral.
UACGUAGGUUGCAAGCGUUGUCCGGAUUUACUGGGUGUAAAGGGCGUGUAGGCGGAGGCGCAAGUUGGGAGUGAAAUCUAUGGGCUCAACCCAUAAACUGCUCUCAAAACUGUGCCCCUUGAGUAUCGGAGAGGCAAGCGGAAUUCCUAGUGUAGCGGUGAAAUGCGUAGAUAUUAGGAGGAACACCAGUGGCGAAGGCGGCUUGCUGGACGACAACUGACGCUGAGGCGCGAAAGCGUGGGGAGCAAACAGG